Molecule: ribosomal RNA, 492 nt
Filed under: uncultured bacterium
Lineage: Bacteria
Description: partial 16S ribosomal RNA
Rfam family: Bacterial small subunit ribosomal RNA
Source: RNAcentral
AGUGAACGCUGGCGGUAGGCCUAACACAUGCAAGUCGAACGGCAGCACAGUAAGAGCUUGCUCUUACGGGUGGCGAGUGGCGGACGGGUGAGGAAUACAUCGGAAUCUACUUUUUCGUGGGUGAUAACGUAGGGAAACUUACGCUAAUACCGCAUACGACCUACGGGUGAAACCAGGGGAUCUUCGGACUUUGCGGGAUUGAAUGAGCCGAUGCCGGAUUAGCUAGUUGGGGGGGGAAAGGCCCACCAAGGCGACGAACCGUAGCUGGUCUGAGAGGAUGAUCAGCCACACUGGAACUGAGACACGGUCCAGACUCCUACGGGAGGCAGCAGUGGGGAAUAUUGGACAAUGGGCGCAAGCCUGAUCCAGCCAUACCGCGUGGGUGAAGAAGGCCUUCGGGUUGUAAAGCCAUUUUGUUGGGAAAGAAAAGCAGCAGGUUAAUACCCCGCUGUUCUGACGGUACCCAAAGAAUAAGCACCGGCUAACUUCGUG